UCAUCUCCCCUUAUUCAUUCUCCUCUCCACAACCUUCAAUCAUCUUUUGCAACCUCACACAUCUUGAUCACCAUCAUCACUCUGCAUCAACUGGCCUCAGAACCGCAGAGCAUUCAUUCAUCAUCUCCGUCGGCACCAUCAAACUCUCUCAACUUUCUCUUCAUCAAUCUUCGUCAUCUUGCUACAUCAUCUUCAUCAACGAAGAUAUACGCUUGUAAUCAUCACUGUAGUGCAUUAGCAUCCUUAUCUUCUUCACAAGAUCAACACCACCAAAACUUCAACAAGCCUUCAAUCUUCGAAGCACAUCACCACCACCAUCACCAUAAUCUUGAAUCCUCAUCAACAACGGUCGCUGCAAGAACGAAAAUAAGGAAACAGUAG
Vicia faba (fava bean) is the source of this 381-nucleotide non-coding RNA. The record is from the annotation of a GenBank genome assembly. NCBI's taxonomy places the organism in Eukaryota, Viridiplantae, Streptophyta, Magnoliopsida, Fabales, Fabaceae.